GACGAACGCUGGCGGCGUGCUUAACACAUGCAAGUCGAACGGGCCUUGUCCCCUUUUUUUUUGGGGGUGGGGUUAGUGGCGAACGGGUGAGUAACACGUGAGUAACCUGCCCCUCACUUCUGGAUAACCGCUUGAAAGGGUGGCUAAUACGGGGUGUUCUGGCCUGCUCGCAUGGGUGGGUUUGGAAAGAUUCGACCGGUUUUGGUUGUUUUGGUGGGGGAUGGGCUCGCGGCCUAUCAGCUUGUUGGUGGGGUGAUGGCCUGCCAAGGCUUUGACGGGUAGCCGGCCUGAGAGGGUGGGCGGUCACACUGGGACUGAGACACGGCCCAGACUCCUACGGGAGGCAGCAGUGGGGAAUAUUGCACAAUGGGCGCAAUCCUGAUGCAGCGACGCCGCGUGAGGGAUGGAGGCCUUCGGGUUGUGAACCUCUUUCGCCAGUGAAGAAGGUCCUGCUCUUUGUGGUGGGGUUGACGGUAGCUGGGUUAAUGAAGCGCCGGCUAACUACGUG
RNAcentral lists this ribosomal RNA (508 nucleotides) under uncultured bacterium. RNAcentral describes it as "partial 16S ribosomal RNA". It matches the Rfam family "Bacterial small subunit ribosomal RNA", at positions 28 to 507 of the family's 1533-position model. The record is from RNAcentral.